RNAcentral lists this long non-coding RNA (336 nucleotides) under Setaria viridis. RNAcentral describes it as "long non-coding RNA (SVIR_LNC009839)". Lineage: Eukaryota; Viridiplantae; Streptophyta; Magnoliopsida; Poales; Poaceae. The record is from RNAcentral.
UGUUCUACAGUUUCAGGUGCAGCUUGGCAAAGAGAGCACAUCGGAUUGCAUAGCCAGUUCCUUGCAGCUAGUCUGUCAGCCGUCAAUAUCUUGCUUUGGACUAGUAUCCAUGCAAAAAAUCUGUGCUUCCCUUCCACCUGUCCCUCAAGAUUGCUUGUGCUUCAAAUGGACUGAAAGAUCCUUGGAAUUGAAUUGCUUAUGCUGACUUAGCACUAUAUUCUCCAUCCGAUGUCCAUCUCCAAGCUAUUUCCUCAGGUCUAUCCGUGAAUUGAAUGUCCUGAACUAGGUCCCAAAUGUGCACAAAUUCAGUCAUUUCUAUCACCAUGUUCAUUCGCC